This is a long non-coding RNA of Triticum dicoccoides, 723 nucleotides long. RefSeq lists it as uncharacterized. The transcript has 2 exons. Lineage: Eukaryota; Viridiplantae; Streptophyta; Magnoliopsida; Poales; Poaceae. The record is from RefSeq and is a predicted model, not a curated record.
UCGAAGCGGUUGUAGCCCAUAGCUUCACACAUGUGCAUUUGUUUAACAAAUUAAAAUUGACCAUGAGUUUUUACUAUUAAUUGAUGGCUCGAGGGAAGAGACAGCGGCAUAUUCUUCGUUGAAAUCAGGUGUGGGCUUUUGAUUAAUUAGACCCAACUUGUCUUGUCUCAUUGCAUGUCACCCAAUUUCGUUGUCUUCGGGGAAUAGAUGAUGACACAUGGACACCAUUCGGUGGCAGUUUGAUGUUUUUCAGGAAUGAAUUCCACCCGUCAUUCAAUACUACUAUGAGAAAAGUAGGGAAAUGCUCACCCUCUGCAAAAUGUACUGGUUCGUCUCGCGGUCUCACCCCCAAAAACAGAGGAGAGGAGCAGGGAGCUCCUCCCCCACACUCGUCGGCUCCAAGGAGCCCCGCCGCCAUGCAUGGAGAUGAGGAGCAGGGAGCUUCGCCGUCGCGCAAGGCAAACCAAGUCUGCAACAUUUGAAUAUUAUACUCAGUCAGUUGCUCGACUACUUGUAGUCCUAUUACUUGAGACUAUACUUGGUCAGCUGCCAUGUACUCCCUCCGUCCCAUAAUAUAAGAACGUUUUUGACACUACUGUAGUGUUAAAAACGUUCUUAUAUUUUGGGACAGAGGGAGUACAUUAUUCUGACAUAAAUGACACCAUGUAUAUGUGCAAGUCAGAAGGAACUGGCCAUCUAAAAAGAUGUCAAAUUAGUUUUGUA